ACAUACCUACGGGACGCAGCAGUAGGGAAUCUUCGGCAAUGGGGGCAACCCUGACCGAGCAACGCCGCGUGAGUGAAGAAGGUUUUCGGAUCGUAAAGCUCUGUUGUGAGAGAAGAACGUGUGUGAGAGUGGAAAGUUCACACAGUGACGGUAACUUACCAGAAAGGGACGGCUAACUACGCGCCAGCAGCCGCGGUAAUACGUAGGUCCCGAGCGUUAUCCGGAUUUAUUGGGCGUAAAGCGAGCGCAGGCGGUUGGCUAAGUCUGAAGUUUAAGGCGGUGGCUCAACCAUAGUAUGCUUUGGG
This 305-nucleotide ribosomal RNA is filed under the name uncultured bacterium. Its description in RNAcentral is "bacterial SSU rRNA". It matches the Rfam family "Bacterial small subunit ribosomal RNA", at positions 333 to 630 of the family's 1533-position model. The record is from RNAcentral.